This 473-nucleotide ribosomal RNA is filed under the name uncultured bacterium. Its description in RNAcentral is "bacterial SSU rRNA". It matches the Rfam family "Bacterial small subunit ribosomal RNA", at positions 328 to 793 of the family's 1533-position model. The record is from RNAcentral.
GCAGAGCACUCCUACGGGAGGCAGCAGUGGGGAAUAUUGCACAAUGGGGGAAACCCUGAUGCAGCCAUGCCGCGUGUGUGAAGAAGGCCUUCGGGUUGUAAAGCACUUUCAGUAGGGAGGAAGGUAGUGUAGUUAACACCUGCACUAUUUGACGUUACCUACAGAAGAAGCACCGGCUAACUCCGUGCCAGCAGCCGCGGUAAUACGGAGGGUGCGAGCGUUAAUCGGAAUUACUGGGCGUAAAGCGCAUGCAGGCGGCCUGUUAAGUCAGAUGUGAAAGCCCCGGGGCUUAACCUCGGAAUUGCAUUUGAAACUGGCAGGCUAGAGUCUUGUAGAGGGGGUAGAAUUUCAGGUGUAGCGGUGAAAUGCGUAGAGAUCUGAAGGAAUACCAGUGGCGAAGGCGGCCCCCUGGACAAAGACUGACGCUCAGAUGCGAAAGCGUGGGGAGCAAACAGGAUUAGAUACCCUGGGAG